Molecule: ribosomal RNA, 428 nt
Filed under: uncultured bacterium
Lineage: Bacteria
Description: partial 16S ribosomal RNA
Rfam family: Bacterial small subunit ribosomal RNA
Source: RNAcentral
GUGGGGAAUAUUGGGCAAUGGGCGCAAGCCUGACCCAGCAACGCCGCGUGAGGGAAGAAGGCUUUCGGGUUGUAAACCUCUGUCCUUGGUGACGAAGAAAGUGACGGUAGCCAAGGAGGAAGCCCCGGCUAACUACGUGCCAGCAGCCGCGGUAAUACGUAGGGGGCGAGCGUUGUCCGGAAUUACUGGGCGUAAAGGGUGCGUAGGUGGCCUUUUAAGUUGGAUGUGAAAUACCCGGGCUUAACUUGGGGGGUGCAUCUAAUACUGGGAGGCUAGAGUGCAGGAGAGGGAAGCGGAAUUCCUAGUGUAGCGGUGAAAUGCGUAGAUAUUAGGAGGAACACCAGUGGCGAAGGCGGCUUUCUGGACUGUAACUGACACUGAGGCACGAAAGCGUGGGGAGCAAACAGGAUUAGAUACCCGUGUAGUCC